GCAAGCGUUAAUCGGAAUUACUGGGCGUAAAGCGCACGCAGGCGGUCUGUCAAGUCGGAUGUGAAAUCCCCGGGCUCAACCUGGGAACUGCAUUCGAAACUGGCAGGCUUGAGUCUUGUAGAGGGGGGUAGAAUUCCAGGUGUAGCGGUGAAAUGCGUAGAGAUCUGGAGGAAUACCGGUGGCGAAGGCGGCCCCCUGGACAAAGACUGACGCUCAGGUGCGAAAGCGUGGGGAGCAAACAGGAUUAGAUACCCUGGUAGUCCACGCCGUAAACGAUGUCUACUUGGAGGUUGUGCCCUUGAGGCGUGGCUUCCGGAGCUAACGCGUUAAGUAGACCGCCUGGGGAGUACGGCCGCAAGGUUAAAACUCAAAUGAAUUGACGGGGGCCCGCACAAGCGGUGGAGCAUGUGGUUUAAUUCGAUGCAACGCGAAGAACC
Molecule: ribosomal RNA, 437 nt
Filed under: Salmonella enterica
Lineage: Bacteria; Pseudomonadati; Pseudomonadota; Gammaproteobacteria; Enterobacterales; Enterobacteriaceae
Also listed under: 2 other names
Description: bacterial SSU rRNA
Rfam family: Bacterial small subunit ribosomal RNA
Source: RNAcentral